AAAUGAAUUGACGGGACCCCGCACAAGCGGUGGAGCAUGUGGAUUAAUUCGAUACUAACCGAAGAACCUUACCCAGUCUUGACAUCGAUGGAAAGGUGCAGAAAUGUGCCCCUCUUCUCACAAGGAAGACCUGAAGACAGAUGUUGCAUGGCUGUCGUCAGCUCGUGCCGUGAGGUGUUUGGUUAAGUCCAGCAACGAGCGCAACCCUCAUUUUGUGUUACCAGCGAGUAAUGUCGGGGACUCACAAGAAACUGCCCGUGUAAGCGGGAGGAAGGUGAGGAUGACGUCAAGUCAGCAUGGCUCUUACGACUGGGGCUUCACACAUGCUACAAUGGGCGCAACAAAGGGCAGCAAUACCGCGAGGUGGAGCGAAUCCCAAAAAUACGCCCCCAGUUCAGAUUGCAGUCUGCAACUCGACUGCAUGAAGGCGGAAUCGCUAGUAACCGCAGGUCAGCUAUACUGCGGUGAAUACGUUCCCGGGGUUUGUACACACCGCCCGU
This 500-nucleotide ribosomal RNA is filed under the name uncultured bacterium. RNAcentral's name for it is "bacterial SSU rRNA". It matches the Rfam family "Bacterial small subunit ribosomal RNA", at positions 903 to 1397 of the family's 1533-position model. The record is from RNAcentral.